Alligator mississippiensis (American alligator) is the source of this 342-nucleotide long non-coding RNA. RefSeq lists it as uncharacterized. The transcript is spliced from 2 exons. NCBI's taxonomy places the organism in Eukaryota, Metazoa, Chordata, Crocodylia, Alligatoridae. The record is from RefSeq and is a predicted model, not a curated record.
CCUCCUGGCUCCCAGGAGGGCCAAGCGAUCCGGUGCUAACACUGGUGGGAAGCUGUUGAUACAACGAAGGAAAGGGUUUUUGAUGGCCCAUCCACUGAAUACCACCUGCUUGAUCAUGUGCAGCUGUUACGAUGAAGUUUGCUCCAGAUCUAUCCUUUGAGCUUUGCCUCUCACAGCUAAGCCCAUUCAUGUGUCCGAGACUGAAUCUGCUUAUGGAAUGCCUGAUUUGCCACGGCUGUGAAGAUCUGGGUCAACUUCUUUUUUCUUGCUACAUUAUUCUUAUGUGUACUUAAUUAUAGAGCACCCUUUUUUGGUGAAAAUAGUUUCUGUUGGACACUUUUA